AUGAUGUAGACGAUGAUCUUGCUGACUUCAUUGGCUCUGUGCUGCCAAAUUCAAGUUCAAAAGACCUAGUGUUAGAGACUCUCCAGACCUUAGGUGUGAAAACCCUGGAAGAUUUGAAAUAUGUCCAGGAGCCAGAUCUUAUUAACGUCCUGAGGCCAAUUGAAGCUAGAAAAUUGAUUGCACAGAUUAAAGCUUUACCUGAGAAAGAUGCUAGUGAGAUUCCUGAUCAGCCUACCAGAGCUCAGCCGAAUGUAACGCCAUGCAGAGAGCGUUCAUCUACAAAUGCCUUUUCAAGAUAAAUCCGGACAGGGGGACCAAGGUGGAGAA
Long non-coding RNA from Sinocyclocheilus grahami, 327 nucleotides. RefSeq lists it as uncharacterized. The transcript is spliced from 3 exons. NCBI's taxonomy places the organism in Eukaryota, Metazoa, Chordata, Actinopteri, Cypriniformes, Cyprinidae. The record is from RefSeq and is a predicted model, not a curated record.